RNAcentral lists this ribosomal RNA (408 nucleotides) under uncultured bacterium. RNAcentral describes it as "partial 16S ribosomal RNA". It matches the Rfam family "Bacterial small subunit ribosomal RNA", at positions 28 to 526 of the family's 1533-position model. The record is from RNAcentral.
GACGAACGCUGGCGGCGUGCUUAACACAUGCAAGUCGAACGAAGUGGCGAACGGGUGAGUAAAAUGUGGGUAACUUGCCCCCCAUCUGGGUAAAAACCUGGGACAAGGGGACUAAUACAGAACAAAGGGGGAAGGGUUCGCGGCCUAUCAGCUUGUUGGUGGGGUGAUGGCCCAACCAGGCGGUGACGGGUAGCCGGGAUGAGAGGGUGACCGGCCAUAGUGGGACUGAGAUACGGCCCAGACUCCCACGGGAGGCAGCAGUGGGGGAUAUUGCACAAUUGGCGAAAGCCUGAUGCAGCGAGUACGAGUGGGGGAUGAAGGCUUUAGGGUUGUAAACCUCUUUCGCUAUCGAACGGGUAGGUGGAGAAGAAGCGCCGGCUAACUACGUGCCAGCAGCCGCGGUGAUUC